GGGGGGAUGUCAGAUCCUGGGAUGUGUCCCCGGCACCCUGUGCUCCCGGGCCUGUGCUGUUGGAUUCGCUCCCAGCCGCGCAGCCACCU
RNAcentral lists this microRNA precursor (89 nucleotides) under Canis lupus familiaris (dog). RNAcentral describes it as "mir-8799 microRNA precursor family". It matches the Rfam family "mir-8799 microRNA precursor family". Lineage: Eukaryota; Metazoa; Chordata; Mammalia; Carnivora; Canidae. The record is from Rfam by way of RNAcentral. RNAcentral also lists the same sequence under 1 other name.